AUCUUGGGAAAUUUCAUCGUGAUGGGGAUAGAUCAUUGCAAUUGUUGGUCUUAAACGAGGAAUGCCUAGUAAGCGCGAGUCAUCAGCUCGCGUUGACUACGUCCCUGCCCUUUGUACACACCGCCCGUCGCUCCUACCGAUUGAAUGGUCCGGUGAAGUGUUCGGAUCGCGGCGACGGGGGCGGUUCGCCGCCCCCGACGUCGCGAGAAGUCCAUUGAACCUUAUCAUUUAGAGGAAGGAGAAGUCGUAACAAGGUUUCCGUAGGUGAACCUGCGGAAGGAUCAUUG
RNAcentral lists this ribosomal RNA (287 nucleotides) under Polypogon monspeliensis (annual rabbitsfoot grass). RNAcentral describes it as "partial 18S ribosomal RNA". It matches the Rfam family "Eukaryotic small subunit ribosomal RNA", at positions 1549 to 1831 of the family's 1831-position model. The record is from RNAcentral. Lineage: Eukaryota; Viridiplantae; Streptophyta; Magnoliopsida; Poales; Poaceae.